UACACUGGUGGCGACCGGCGCACGGGUGAGUAACACGUGUGCAACCAACCCCGUACCGGGAGAUAACCCGCGGAAACGUGGACCAACAUCCCAUGAGACUCUAGAUCCGCAUGGCUCUAGAUUUAAAAUUCCGGUGGUACGGGACGGGCACGCGCGACAUUAGGUAGUUGGCGGGGUAAGGGCCCACCAAGCCGACGAUGGAUAGGGGUUCUGAGAGGAAGGUCCCCCACAUUGGAACUGAGACACGGUCCAA
RNAcentral lists this ribosomal RNA (253 nucleotides) under uncultured bacterium. Its description in RNAcentral is "partial 16S ribosomal RNA". It matches the Rfam family "Bacterial small subunit ribosomal RNA", at positions 81 to 334 of the family's 1533-position model. The record is from RNAcentral.